Molecule: non-coding RNA, 45 nt
Organism: Helobdella robusta
Lineage: Eukaryota; Metazoa; Annelida; Clitellata; Rhynchobdellida; Glossiphoniidae
Source: Rfam
CAAACGGCUCUUCUCAGAGCCAUCAAUGAAACGAUGAUAUCGAGC